GAUGAAGAACGUAGUGAAAUGCGAUAAGUAGUGUGAAUUGCAGAAUUCAGUGACUCAUCGAAUCUUUGAACGCACAUUGCGCCCCUUGGUAUUCCAUGGGGCAUGCCUGUUCGAGCGUCAUUUGUACCUUCAAGCUCUGCUUGGUGUUGGGUGUUUGUCUCGCCUCUGCGUGUAGACUCGCCUCAAAACAAUUGGCAGCCGGCGUAUUGAUUUCGGAGCGCAGUACAUCUCGCGCUUUGCACUCAUAACGACGACGUCCAAAAGUACAUUUUUACACUCUUGACCUCGGAUCAGGUAGGGAUACCCGCUGAACUUAAGCAUAUCAAUAAGCGGAGGA
This 337-nucleotide unclassified non-coding RNA is filed under the name soil metagenome. RNAcentral's name for it is "partial contains 5.8S ribosomal RNA, internal transcribed spacer 2, and large subunit ribosomal RNA". The stretch from base 1 to 120 matches the Rfam family "5.8S ribosomal RNA", at positions 35 to 154 of the family's 154-position model. The record is from RNAcentral.